CUGUUAUCAGACUGUAUAGAGGUGGGAAGGCUAAACUGAGGAAUUAUGUCUGACAGAAGGGAAAAAAUGACUGUGGUGGCCUUCUCAGACCCUGUAGGAAAGGCCUCUACCUAUCCAGUAAAAGUGUCUACCUAGAUUAAUAGGUAUUUUAGUUAUCUGACUUGGGGCACGUUGAGUAAAGCUAAUUUGCCAGUCCUGGGUGGGAGCAAAUCCUGGAGCUUGAUGUGUAGGGAAGGGAGGGGGGCCUGAAUAAUCCCUGAGGAGUAGUAGAAUAGCAGAUGGAACACUGAGAAGUUAUUUCCUUGAGGAUAGAUUUCCACGAUGGAAAGGAAAUGAGAGGUUCUAAGAGGCAGGCUAGUGGCUUGUACUACAGCAUAGCCUGCCUUUGCUGGUGUGUGGCGAUUAGGCCUGGUGGAACCGCCAUCAAUAAAUCAAGUGUGAUCAGGGUGAGGAACAGGAAAGAAGGAAAUAUGGGGAAAUGGGGUGAAUGUCAGGUGGAUCAGAGAGAUACAGUCAUGGGGGUCAGGUGUGGUAUCAGGAAUAAUGUGGGAGGCCAGAUUGAAAUCCUGGCCAGGAACAAUGGUAAUUGUGGGACUUAACAAAGAGUGAGUACAGCUGAAGGAGCUGGGGAGCAGAAAGUAUAUGCAUCAGGUAUGAGGAAGAAAAUAGAUUUUGGAAGUUAUGAGAAAUGUAGAGAGUGAGUUGAGCAUAUUUGUGAUUUUGAGGGCCUCUGAAAGUAUUAAAGCAGUGGCAGCCGCUGCACGCAGACAUGAGGGCUAGGCUAAAACAGUAAGGUCAAGUUGUUUGGACAGAAAGGCUACAGGGUGCCGUCCUGGCUCUUGUGUAAGAAUUCUGACCGCACUAACCAUGCCUAGGAAGGAAAGGAGUUGUUAUUUUGUAAGGGCUUGAGGUUUGGGAGAUUAAUCGGACAUGAUCAGCAGGGAGAGCACGUGUGUUUUUAUGAGAAUUAUGCCGAGAUAGGGCUGUAAAGCGUGUCAGGGUUGCUGCCGAAGGAGCCAUGAACUGGGCU
This 1030-nucleotide long non-coding RNA is filed under the name Homo sapiens (human). Its description in RNAcentral is "non-protein coding lnc-SLITRK5-17:1". The record is from RNAcentral. Lineage: Eukaryota; Metazoa; Chordata; Mammalia; Primates; Hominidae.